CGCGUAGGCGGCUCGGUAAGCGGGCGGUGAAAGCCCGGGGCUUAACCCCGGGUCUGCCGUGCGGACUGCCGUGGCUUGAGCACUGUAGAGGCAGGUAGAAUUCCGGGUGUAGCGGUGGAAUGCGUAGAGAUCCGGAAGAAUACCGGUGGCGAAGGCGGCCUGCUGGGCAGUUGCUGACGCUGAGGCGCGACAGCGUGGGGAGCAAACAGGAUUAGAUACCCUGGUAGUCCACGCCGUAAACGAUGGGCACUAGGUGCUUGGGGGAGCGACCCCCUGAGUGCCGUCGCUAACGCAGUAAGUGCCCCGCCUGGGGAGUACGGCCGCAAGGCUGAA
This 333-nucleotide ribosomal RNA is filed under the name uncultured Gemmatimonas sp. RNAcentral's name for it is "bacterial SSU rRNA". It matches the Rfam family "Bacterial small subunit ribosomal RNA", at positions 568 to 898 of the family's 1533-position model. The record is from RNAcentral. Lineage: Bacteria; Pseudomonadati; Gemmatimonadota; Gemmatimonadia; Gemmatimonadales; Gemmatimonadaceae.